This is a long non-coding RNA of Podarcis raffonei (Aeolian wall lizard), 354 nucleotides long. RefSeq lists it as uncharacterized. NCBI's taxonomy places the organism in Eukaryota, Metazoa, Chordata, Lepidosauria, Squamata, Lacertidae. The transcript has 2 exons. The record is from RefSeq and is a predicted model, not a curated record.
AGAGAAGAGCAGGAAGGGUGGGCUAGGAAGGAAGAAGAAAGUGUUGCUGUGAGUUUGUGAAGCACAUUCAGUGAGGGGACCCUGCAGCCAAGUUCCAGACUUAUAACACUUGUUCAGCUUGGAAACAACUUUGCAGAGAAAUAAUGUUUGGAAGGGACAAGCUUCUUCUCUAUAGGAUCUUUGAUGGAUCAAUUGACAGCAUAUUCUUUGCCAUAAUCUCCAAGGACCCUAAGAAACCUGUCUGGUUGCAUGACAAUAUUCAUGUGACUUGAUUAACCAAGAUCAAUUGGAUUCAAGAAGUCUGCUCAAGAACAUAGAACACAUAACAACUUUCAGCAUAAAUGGUCAAGGUCA